This 2845-nucleotide long non-coding RNA is filed under the name Cairina moschata (Muscovy duck). RNAcentral's name for it is "domestica (muscovy Duck (domestic type)) lncRNA (ENSCMMG00000013330.1)". Lineage: Eukaryota; Metazoa; Chordata; Aves; Anseriformes; Anatidae. The record is from RNAcentral.
UAGACAGUUCAGGCUGUGGGCAGGUAUGGGUUCAAUGAAAGAUGGGUGAUCCCAGAGAUCCUGGAAGAUGCCAGGGAUUUGUUGGUAGUGUAAAAUGAAAGAGAUGGGUGUCCAAGAUGUGGGAGUCCUGGAGAGACAAGAAUCAGCUGGGAAUUGUGAGACACUGGGUGGUAAGGUAAACUGGGUGCCACUAGCACAUGAGGAAACAGGAAGGAGGAGCACUGUCAGAAAUUACAUAUUCAUAGAUACGUGAAGAUGAAGAAACAAGUAGACAACAGUGCAAAGCAGACAACUUAGGAAACACUGGAAAAGGGGAGUGAAGGGAUGGGGAGAACUGAGAUGAAAGGGAAACACUGAGAACAGUUGUCACACAGUAGUGUGGGAACAGUAGUGUGGGAGGUUCUAAAGUGGAUUGCAAGACUGGGGAACAUUGGGUUGCCAUGGAACAUGAAGGAGGGAGAUAUGGGUUUGUAGGUAUCAGAACUUUGGUGCAGCCUCUUCUGCAUCCUCACCAGAAUGGUGUCAUCUCCUUGUCCUUGGAGCCCACACCAGUUCUGUGCUCUUUCCCUCCUCAGUACAAACAAGAAAGGAAAACUCCCUCCCCUGACCCCAUUAGCCUGCUCUUGCUAAUGCAUCCCACAGAAUGCAGUGGAUAGCUGAUGAAUGACCAGCAGAUAUUUCAGGGCAGGUGUUGUGUAUUGUCUGGAAAGGGCCAUGUCCAUCAGGGCUUGGGAAUGCCUAGUCACUUACUCUGGGGCCUGCACUUCCAGGGGUUCCACCCCCAGCCACUCCUGCACCUCUUGGAGCACUUAGAACUCACCACUGUCUCUCUCUCUCUCUCUCCCCAACUUUCCACAGAAUGGCUUCUAGCUCCCGGUCGUCUACAACCCUGUCAGCUUUGAGGAUCAGUGACCACAGCUUCAAUGACAAUGGGAACUGCCGAAUAAUUUCCCUCUGAAUUCAAUCUACGGUCCCAAUUUUGCCCUGUUCCUGAAGAGUUUUGCUUAAGAAUGAAGAGAUCCCAUGUUCCUGGUGCAAAGCAAAUAAACCUGGAUCUUACACCACUGUGUUCUGGACUUUUAUGUGUAUAUGUGUGGCUUUUUCAGACACCAGUCCUCCUCCAGAAUCCCCAGUCUCUUCUCUUGCAACCAAGCUGGUCCCAAACUGCUGCAGAUUACUCAGUAACCUGGGUCAGAGCAGUUAAUUAUAAUAACAGGUGGAGACCAUGAUGUCACCCAAGGCAUCUCAGGGUUUCCCUGCUGCCGUUUGGAAUAUCUUUUCUUUCUGCCUCAACUGGAUUUCACCUGUCCCAGUCUAUGCCUGUCAUCUAUGCCAGAGGGGUGGAUUGAUACCAAUGGCAGUGUAACAGUAUGUUGAGUUGGGUCCCAAGGGCCAUUGUGCCACAUCAAGUUGAGUCAAGUUGUGAGGAUAGUUGGGCAAGUCGAGUCAAGUCACAAGGGCUGUCGAGUGGAGUCAAGUCAAAUCAAGUCAAGUUGCAAGGGCCUUCUGACCAAGUCGAGCCAAGUGGCAAGGGCUGUCAGGCUGAGUAGAGUCAAGUUGCUAGGGCCGUUGGGCUGAGUCAAGUCAGCUGCAAGGGCUAUCAGGCUGUGCUGAGUCGAGUUGUGAGUGCUGUUGGGCUGAGUCCAGUCACAUUAGGAGAGCCAUUGGGCCGAGUUGAGUUGAGAUGGCCGUCAAGCCAAGAGGAUUCGAGUCAUGAGGGCCAUCUUACCAAGUCAAACCAAGUCAUGAGGACUGUUGGGAUGAUUCCUGUCAAGUUGUCAGGGCUGUUGGGCCAAGGCAAGUUGAGUUGAGUUGCUAUGGCCAUCAGGCAGAGUUGAGUCAAGUUGAAAGGGACAUCAGGUCAAGUUGAGGUGAGUCGUGAGGGCCAGCGGGCCAAGCCAAGGUGACUUGUAAGAGCUGUCAGGCCAAGCUGAGUUGAGUUGAAUCACAAGAACCUUAGGGCUGAGUCAAAUCACAAGAGUUUUAGGGCUGAGUCAAAUCAGGUUGCGAGGGAUGUUGGUUCAAGGUGAGCCAAGUUGCAAUGGCAUUCAAGAUGAGUUGAUUUGAGUCAAAUCACAAGAGUUGUUUUGCUGAGUCCAGCUGAAUCAUGAGAGCCAUUGGGCUAAGUCAAAUUAAGUCAAGACGGCUGUCAAGACAAGUCAAGUUGAGUCACAAGGGCUGCUGGGCCGAGUCAAGUCAAGUCGCAAGGGCCAUUGUGCCAAGCCAAGUUGAGUUGAGUCAUGAGGGUUGUUGGGUUGAGUCUUGUUGAUUUGCUAGGGCUGUAGGGCCAGGUCACAUCUAUUUGUGAGGGCUGUCAGGCUGAGUCGAGUUGCAAGGGCCAUUGGGCUGAGUCAAGUUGAGUUGAGUCAAGACGGCUGUCAGGCCGAGUUGAAUAGAGUCAUGAGGGCCAUCGGGCUGAGUCUUAUUGAGACAAGUUGCAAGGGCCUUCAGGCUGAGUUGAGUCGAUUCAUCAGAGCCAUCAUGCUGAGCUGAGUUGUGUCGCAAGGGCCAUUGUACCAAGUUGAGACAAGUUUAGUCAAGUCACAAGGAUAGCUGAGCUGAAUUGAGUCUAGCCAUGGGGGCUAUAUGGCUGAGUCGAGUUGAACUGAUUUGUGAUGGCUGUCAGGCUGAGCCAAGUCGAGCUGCGUGGGCCAUCAGGCUGAGCUGAGUUGAACUGCGGGGGGCUGUUGGGCCAAAUCGAGUGGAGCCGCAAGGGCCAUUGAGCUGAGUCAAGUCAAGUCUCAAAGGCCUUCUGGCUGAGUUGAGCCAAGUUGUGAGUGCCGUUGGGCUGAGUCGAGUCAAGUUGCAAGGGCUUUCUGGCCAAGUCAAUCCAAGUUGAGAGGGC